This is a long non-coding RNA of Triticum aestivum (bread wheat), 168 nucleotides long. RefSeq lists it as uncharacterized. Lineage: Eukaryota; Viridiplantae; Streptophyta; Magnoliopsida; Poales; Poaceae. The record is from RefSeq and is a predicted model, not a curated record. The transcript is spliced from 2 exons.
AGAAGAUGAACGGGGCUAAGCGAUCUGCCGAAGCUGUGGGAUUUCAUAAUGCAUCGGUAGGGGAGCGUUCCGCCUUAGAGGGAAGCAACCACGAAAGCGGGGGUCGACGAAGCGGAAGCGAGAAUGUCGGCUUGAGUAACAAAAACAUUGGUGAGAAUCCAAUGCCCC